Zingiber officinale is the source of this 3755-nucleotide long non-coding RNA. RefSeq lists it as uncharacterized. The transcript is spliced from 2 exons. Lineage: Eukaryota; Viridiplantae; Streptophyta; Magnoliopsida; Zingiberales; Zingiberaceae. The record is from RefSeq and is a predicted model, not a curated record.
GAUCGUUAACUGAAUUCUUAAAUUUAGAUAUAUGAUGCACAAACUUUUGUAAAUGCUUAUGGUGUCUAUGUCAUGCACAUAUUGAAUACCUUAUCUAUAUUGUGUUUUUGUGGUUAUUUGGAUUUUGGAGCACAUCACAUAAGUCUCCUCCAAGAUUUCAUAAUAAUUGUAUGUGAUCUGUCCGAAAGCGUGAAGCUGGAAAGCUGGGAGGUGGCGUCUUCGUUGACCGGACGUGGACUUCGCUUCGCUCUACAAAACAAAUAACCUCAGUGCUGGGCUAAGGAAGGGGUCUCCGGCGUUGCCCCUCCGACACUCAAGUCAGUGACUGGAAUAUGGAGAAAAACGGAGCAACAGUAGCAACAGUAGAACUCAAGAAUAACGUGCACCUCUGUCGAUGAUGGCCUCCCUUUAUAUAGAGCCUUGAUGGGCGACGUGCACACUUCCCAAAGCAUAGACACGUUCUCCAAUAUGUCCUAUGAAAGAAUCUGUCAGGAAAGUACCUUUGACAUCAUACCUUAACACGGCAUGCAUAUCCUUGACAACACAGUAGAAGCUUUCGCCGUACGAUCCGCCUGUCGACCAUGCCUCAUGUUAGCAACACUAUCUCUCAAAAUGAUGUCGAGAGAUACUACAAUGGUCCCGUUGCUGGGCCAAGCGGGGCAACCGCUCGGCCGGGACUCCGCUCCGUCCACGGCUAGGUCCCGCUGCUUAGCCGAGCGGGGUAAUCGCUUGGUCGGGACCCCUCCGCUCUGACGACCUCAAGUGGCUCCUCCGUGCGGUGACUGUUUAGUAACACGUCCUCCCCCGUUCGAACCAGCUAUCCGUUCUCCCUCGAACGUCCUGCUACGCCGUAUUGAGCGUCAACUGUCUUACGCGUCAUCCCGAGCUGGACGGGUGGCCUGCUCGGACCUAUCUCCCGUUGAUCUAGGCCUGACUGCCCGACCAACUAUUUCCAUUGUCUUCCGUUCGGCCCUCUAGCACCUAGGCGUUGACCACUUUGACUUUGACCUCUACCAUGACAAUUGACCCCGUGCCAUAUAGGCCUGCCCCCAUCGCCGCAUCACAAGCCUCCCCUCAAGUUUAGUCGAAUGAGGCUGCAAGUCCGACUGACUGGACCAGUAGAGUCUUCGAUGACUCCCACGCCUUUGUCGUUCGGCUUCGCAUUGUCAGACUGGGUAUAUAACUGUCGCUCGGCCCAAGCCUUUUGAAGCAAACUGUGUCUCAACCAUUCGGAUGUGUGAUAAUCGCUUAUCCGUGCCGCUCGGGCAAUGGGUGACAACACUUGGUGAAAAAAUUCCUUUUCCUUUAAUUGCGCUCCUCGGCCAAGAGCCCUGUUGUCAUCCAGAUUUCUCGAAGACCAUGCAAAUCUAUGAUUAUUAUAGCGGAGCACGCGACCAUAUCUUUUAAUUAAGCCUCAUUAAUGUCGUCCGAUGGUUGAGCGUCAUGUGUCUUUCUUUCUGUCGUCGCAUGUUUGACGUGACAGACGGAUAUCCGCUGGCGAUGUGAUAGACGCCUUUUCAAAUUCAUUCAAUGGCUGGAUCUUCUCUUAGUUUUUCGCAAUCGUGGAUCAAACAACUCAGGUCGAUCGGUCGCAAGGUUUAUAAACCUCGCGUGCGUCGUCGUCUUCUUCAUUUCGUCUUCGAGCUUCCCGACGACAUUUCACUUCUUCUGCCUCUCCGGCGAUCCCUCUUGUAAGCCUCUUCAUCUUUUCAGUCAAAUCUUUUCGUUGUUCUUCGUCGUCCUUGUUUUUGAUGGCCAGCUCCUCACAACCCCCACCUCCGUCCCUGGGCUCUGAUACACUUCCACUGAGUCCAAGUUCGAUGGGGGUGACGUUGAGAGUUUGAAAUCUACUUACCAAUUUCCAUCUGGCUAUCAAAUCGUUCUUCCUUCUGCUUUCGACCGGCCGUAUGAGCCACCGCCGGGUUUUUUUUGUUUCUUUGGUGUACGGUUCCCUAUCCACCCAUUUUUCUCCGCGGUCUGUAAAUAUUUUCGUAUUUCCCUUAACCAAUUAGUGUCAAACUCCUUUUGGCUGUUGUGCGGGGUCGUCGUCCUGUUCUGCCUACACGACAUUCCUCCGACUCCUCGACUCUUCCAUUAUUUUUAUUAUCUGAAAUUGUCCGAGCCGGGGACUUUUCUCUUUCAGGCCCGAGUGGGCUUAGUCUUCUUUGAUAAGAUGUCGUCCUCCAACAAGUAUUGGAGAGACUGCUACUUUUUCGUUCACUUUCUCAAGCAGCCAGAUUUCCCGACUAGCUGGUAGCUAGAAGUAUCGAACCCUCCGGAUCUCAAGAAGUACAAAAGCCGAUCGGACUAUUUCCAUGCAGCCUCCAGCUUAGCCAGUCAGAAGUACCAUAUCCAUAAGUUGCUGCUGGAGGGUGUCCUCUACGUGUUCGGCUUGAGUCCAAUCCACACUAAGCUUCCGUUAUGCUCUUUCUUCUUCCAGUCUUUGAAUCUUACUGAUUUUUCCUCCUUUUGCGCAGCUCGAAUCAUGUUGCGAGCAUGUCUGGCCGGCAAGUGCAAGUCGUGGACGUAGAGAGGGCGCUUGCAGCCAAUCGACUCCCAUAAGUAUCCGCUCGACGAAAGCGAGGAAGCGUUAGUGCAAGGGAGCGAAGCAGGACCCAGCCGAACAACUGGCAGUGGAGCAGCUGGUACAGCUGACCUUCCACCAGAGCAACCCCUGGUGCUUUCAGUUGCGGAGGCCUCCGAGUCGACCUCUUAUGGGGAGCCUUUGAUAAGCCGGAAGAGACGUCGUGCGGAAGCUACCUCCCAAUCCGCCUCCUCCGCUGUGCAGACCCCCACUCGAGCCGGCUCACGCCCUCUAUCCGAACGGGGCGAAACUUCAACACCCGCUCCUCCUGAACAAGCAGCGGUCGCCCCCCAUAUGUCCGUUUCCUCCGACCGGACGUUGUUGUUGUCCGGGCUGCCCCAUGGAACCCUCUGUGUGCCUCCAGUCACCUUUCUGCCGCCUAUAUCUCUGCCAGCGGUCGGAAAAUCUCGCAUCUGAUCGGCAUCAACAACCCAGUCGGUUGGCAGAGCAACCUCUGCCCCGUCUGCUUCGAGCGGCCAACGCCAAAUAACGACAAUUAUGCAUUUGUUGACAGACAAAUGGCGCGACCCGGACGACGCCGCAUCACGGAGCCCCAAGCACCAAAUAAUUAUUCAGGGGCCGCUCACAUGGAUAUGUGCCGACGCUCGGGCUCAUGCGGCGGUCAUGCCUCCAGGGGUACUUGUCGACAGUCAUGCCCAGAUGUCCACUAGUAUGGUAGAGAGCCUGACCAUAUUUGUCAAAGACUCGUAUUUUUGAAACACGAAGUCCAGCAGCUGCGUGCCCCGAAUGACCAAGCAGUCGCAGGAGUGCUUGGAGCAGAUAAGCGCCGAGAUGGCCUAACUAAAGGCUUGAAUAAGAGCUCCGAGCUGCUGGAGGCGGAGAGGGGCAAGAGCGCCGAGCAGGCUACGCAAUUGGCUCGGCUUAAUAAACAGACGAACACCUUUGAGUCCAAGAUCCACUCGGCCAACACCAGGAAGCUCCGAGCCAUCGAAAACUUGGAAAUCAAAAACAAAGAGUUUCGGGUGUUGACUCAAAAACUGGAGGAGGCGAAGACCUCGCUGAAUGCUGAGCGAGAGGGCAGGUCAGCCGAUUGGUCUGUGGCGAAGGCCCAGCUUGACGCCAAAGAUGCAGAGCUAGCCACUUUGAAGACGGAUUUAGAGGCAUCUCGGUUGGCGCUAGAAGUUUACCAAAGUGCGAAGUCCAGCCGGUU